Zingiber officinale is the source of this 357-nucleotide long non-coding RNA. RefSeq lists it as uncharacterized. The transcript has 4 exons. The record is from RefSeq and is a predicted model, not a curated record. Lineage: Eukaryota; Viridiplantae; Streptophyta; Magnoliopsida; Zingiberales; Zingiberaceae.
GUGGAUCCUGGUCACAUACCAACAUGUGGUGUGGGCGAAGAAGGCAGUAAAUUGUCACAACAUAUUGCUGAGCAGUUGAGAGCAUCAAACAGAGAUAGUAUCUGCUUCAUUCCAUACAAUACUGGGUACCAUUGGAUUCUGACUAUAAUUAAUGAAGAUAAGAAUAUGAUAUAUUUAUUGGACUCUUUGAGUAAUAGGAAUCGAGAUCAUGCUUGGCAAAUUAUUGUGACCAAUGGGGUCAAGUUAUACAAUGCAUCAAGGGGUAUUUCAAAAGGACCUGGGUUUAAACAAUUGACGGGUAAUCUAAAGCAAAAAGGUGGUGUUGAAUGUGGAUAUUGUAUAAUACGAUACAUGAAA